This is a non-coding RNA of Salmo salar (Atlantic salmon), 755 nucleotides long. NCBI's taxonomy places the organism in Eukaryota, Metazoa, Chordata, Actinopteri, Salmoniformes, Salmonidae. The record is from RefSeq and is a predicted model, not a curated record.
ACACACUGAGCAGGUAGAAACACACUGCUUUACACACUGAGCAGGUAACUACACACUGAGCAGGUAGAAACACACUGCUUUACACACUGAGCAGGUAACUACACACUGAGCAGGUAGAAACACACUGCUUUACACACUGAGCAGGUAACUACACACUGAGCAGGUAGCAACACGCUGCUUUACACACUGAGCAGGUAGCAACACGCUGCUUUACACACUGAGCAGGUAGCAACACGCUGCUUUACACACUGAGCAGGUAGCAACACGCUGCUUUACACACUGAGCAGGUAGCAACACGCUGCUUUACACACUGAGCAGGUAGCAACACGCUGCUUUACACACUGAGCAGGUAGAAACACGCUGCUUUACACACUGAGCAGGUAGCAACACGCUGCUUUACACACUGAGCAGGUAGCAACACGCUGCUUUACACACUGAGCAGGUAGCAACACGCUGCUUUACACACUGAGCAGGUAGCAACACGCUGCUUUACACACUGAGCAGGUAGCAACACGCUGCUAUACACACUGAGCAGGUAGCAACACGCUGCUUUACACACUGAGCAGGUAGCAACACGCUGCUUUACACACUGAGCAGGUAGCAACACGCUGCUUUACACACUGAGCAGGUAGCAACACGCUGCUUUACACACUGAGCAGGUAGCAACACGCUGCUUUACACACUGAGCAGGUAGCAACACGCUGCUUUACACACUGAGCAGGUAGCAACACGCUGCUUUACACACUGAGCAGGUA